RNAcentral lists this ribosomal RNA (253 nucleotides) under Paenibacillus sp. cl6col. Its description in RNAcentral is "16S rRNA. Bacterial SSU". It matches the Rfam family "Bacterial small subunit ribosomal RNA", at positions 1 to 238 of the family's 1533-position model. The record is from RNAcentral. Lineage: Bacteria; Bacillati; Bacillota; Bacilli; Caryophanales; Paenibacillaceae.
CUUUAACGGAGAGUUUGAUCCUGGCUCAGGACGAACGCUGGCGGCGUGCCUAAUACAUGCAAGUCGAGCGGACUUGAUGGAGUGCUUGCACUCCUGAUGGUUAGCGGCGGACGGGUGAGUAACACGUAGGUAACCUGCCCAUAAGACUGGGAUAACCCACGGAAACGUGAGCUAAUACCAGAUAGGCAUUUUCCUCGCAUGAGGGAGAUGAGAAAGGCGGAGCAAUCUGCCACUUAUGGAUGGACCUGCGGCG